Molecule: long non-coding RNA, 914 nt
Organism: Hipposideros armiger (great roundleaf bat)
Lineage: Eukaryota; Metazoa; Chordata; Mammalia; Chiroptera; Hipposideridae
Exons: 3
Source: RefSeq, a predicted model, not a curated record
GCGGCAGCCAGAGGGUGUUGGUCUGGCCAUCUGGUGCAGGAACAGUCGAGCCGUGUGGGAGCCCAGCUGGCACGGGAAUCCUUGGCUGUCCCCGGCAAACAGCAUGGGGAGGAGAGCUGUGGGAUCAAUAGUAAUUUCCUUCAGAGGAACGGUGAUGUAGCGCGGUUGGCAGUGGCAUUGGGCUUUCCCUGGCACGGAGGUCUCUAAAUGCACUUGGCCCUCUUAGCUAGGAAAUGGACUUGCAGCAGAACGCUGGACAGGGAACGGAACAAGGACAGUACUUUCUUGGCCUGAGCCCAAGAGAGGUUGCCAGGUUGGCUGUGGAAGCAAGCUUUCUCUGUGCCUGCCUGUCAUCGGCAUAAGCCACGUAGACACUUUGAGGCACUGACAGAGUGGAAAUUGUGGAAGCUGGAACAGUCCCAUGGGCCUGCCGGCACCUCCCAUGCAACAUUUAUCUACUCAGCACUAAGGGAGAGACUUCUGUGUGCCAGGAACAGUGCUCAGGUUGCUGCUGUGCCCGGUUUGAGCUGGAACAGUGAGGAGGAGCAGGCCUUAAAACCAGACAUCUCUCCCUGCUUGUUGGCUGCGUCCCUCCUGCCCUGGAAUCUUCAGGAUGCAGAGCGCAGCCCAGUGUAGUGUAGUGCAAUGGCAAAGUGAAGUCAAGAGCUGCUGGAUUUCCUGAAGUCAACGAAAAUAAUGCUGGGGAAUUGCUCCAACCACACAAGGAGCUGCUAAUUGGGGUCUGGCCGAAUUAGCCAGUUCUGAACCAGAGAGACAUUCACAAGCAGGAGGCAUGAUGGAGUUUCCAAAAGAGGACCCUUUGAAGAACGAAAUAUUAAGAGAGACCGCUGGUAUAACUGAUGAAGACCUUGAAACUUUUUUUUUGCCAAAAUGAUCCUCUUUAUGCUGGCGUA